Armigeres subalbatus is the source of this 1025-nucleotide long non-coding RNA. RefSeq lists it as uncharacterized. The record is from RefSeq and is a predicted model, not a curated record. Lineage: Eukaryota; Metazoa; Arthropoda; Insecta; Diptera; Culicidae. The transcript has 4 exons.
CAUAUUUCAUUCGCCAGUAAAAAUUAGCAGCUGCUCUGGCAUUAUUGGCAUUAAUUAUUGACUUUUAUUCGAAGUUUAGCAAUAAUAAAACAAAAUUAAAACUAAUUAUAGUGUGUCAUUAAUAUUCAUCUUUAUUGCAGAAUAAUAAUGAACCAAAUCGCUUCGUUAAAGUUUUGUGUCGAGCGAUAUUCGACAUUUUCAUCGGAGGCAGAUCGUGCAAUCAGGUGCAAUCGAAGCAAAGUCUUUGAUCGAAAGCCUAUCAAAUCAUCAAUGAUAAUAUUUUUCCGGAACGCAAUCCUGAGUUCUAUACGACAACAUGCGUAGUAAGCGCCAUUUGUUACUCAGCUGUGUGGAGGAAGGAGAAAGCUUGCACGAUCUAUGAACUACUAAUUCCUAUCCGGAAAAAGACGUUUUUGCGGGGACAAUUUAAAAAGUCUAGCCCCAUGACUACAACGGAAACCGGAUCUACGGAGGAAGAGCAUCGCUUUCUCAACAGGAUCAUGGACAUUUGCGAGGUAAAGGAAUCGGAUCUAUUUUUAAGGAUCAACAACCACUAACUUUCCCGCAUAGUUGGAUGUCCUCCGCAAAGAUUUAACGUUCUUCACAUAAUCGCUGUGCUUAUUUACAGAAUCAGCUCUUUGAUAAUGCUGGAACUCAAUCGGCAAGCACUUCUUUAUUGUUAGUCUAUGACGUCGUCUAGAAAAACCGAGUUCCGUGCCGCUCGUUGAUGUUCUUUCCCCGGUGGUGAUUCAUCUGAAACCAGUCGGGUAGUUUCGAUUACGUAGCCGCACCUUUCGCCAUGUCAUUUCACAAGAUCGGAAGGUUAUAUUCAAGACGACAUGCUGCACCCGGCUGCUAUUUCCCUCACCAAUUACACGGAUGGCUCGAUCAGGACAACAAAUCAUUACUAUAUAUGAUAGGCAUUACGGCCUCCAAUAGGCGAACAAUGCUAUGUUGGAUGUAUGCCGCUUCAGCUGUAUAAAAAUAACCCAAUUUGUGGGCAUGAAUCGUGAGCAUAAACAUAA